This 465-nucleotide ribosomal RNA is filed under the name uncultured bacterium. RNAcentral's name for it is "partial 16S ribosomal RNA". It matches the Rfam family "Bacterial small subunit ribosomal RNA", at positions 28 to 507 of the family's 1533-position model. The record is from RNAcentral.
GACGAACGCUGGCGGCGUGCUUAACACAUGCAAGUCGUACGGUAAGGCCCUUUCGGGGGUACCCGAGUGGCGAACGGGUGAGUAACACGUGAGUAACCUGCCCACAACUUUGGGAUAACGCUAGGAAACUGGUGCUAAUACUGGAUAUGUGCUCCUGCUGCAUGGUGGGGGUUGGAAAGCUCCGGCGGUUGUGGAUGGACUCGCGGCCUAUCAGCUUGUUGGUGGGGUAGUGGCCUACCAAGGCGGCGACGGGUAGCCGGCCUGAGAGGGUGACCGGCCACAUUGGGACUGAGAUACGGCCCAGACUCCUACGGGAGGCAGCAGUGGGGAAUAUUGCACAAUGGGCGCAAGCCUGAUGCAGCAGCGCCGCGUGCGGGAUGACGGCCUUCGGGUUGUAAACCGCUUUCAGCAGGGACGAAGCUUUUUGUGACGGUACCUGCAGAAGAAGCACCGGCUAACUACGUG